Molecule: ribosomal RNA, 522 nt
Filed under: uncultured bacterium
Lineage: Bacteria
Description: bacterial SSU rRNA
Rfam family: Bacterial small subunit ribosomal RNA
Source: RNAcentral
AGACCGUAAACGGUGGGCACUAGUUGUGGGAACCUUCCACGGUUUCUGCGACGCAGCUAACGCAUUAAGUGCCCCGCCUGGGGAGUACGAUCGCAAGAUUAAAACUCAAAGGAAUUGACGGGGCCCCGCACAAGCAGCGGAGCACGCGGCUUAAUUCGACGCAACGCGAAGAACCUUACCAAGGCUUGACAUAUAGGGAAAAGUGGCAGAGAUGUCAUGUCCGCAAGGGCUCUAUACAGGUGGUGCAUGGUUGUCGUCAGCUCGUGUCGUGAGAUGUUGGGUUAAGUCCCGCAACGAGCGCAACCCUCGUUCUGUGUUGCCAGCAUUUAGUUGGGGACUCACAGGAGACUGCCGGGGUUAACUCGGAGGAAGGUGAGGAUGACGUCAAAUCAUCAUGCCCCUUAUGUCUUGGGCUGCACGCAUGCUACAAUGGCUGGUACAAAGGGCUGCAAUACUGCAAAGUGGAGCGAAUCCCAAAAAGCCAGUCUCAGAUCGGAUUGGGGUCUGCAACUCGACCCCAUG